AACCUAGCACACCUGCGGUGUGUACCUGCGGAAGGAUCAUUAAAAAGAGUGUGUACCCCUCUGUAAAAUGAGUGGGUUACCUCCCGUCCUUUGUUGACCUCUUAGGAGGUUAUUUUGAACUUUCUGCUUCGGUGGGGUUAAACCUACCGGAACACCCUCAAAUUCUUAUCAUUUAAAAAUUGUUCAGUCUGAUUUUUGUUAAUAAAAACAAAAAACUUUCAACAAUGGAUCUCAGAUCGG
RNAcentral lists this unclassified non-coding RNA (240 nucleotides) under soil metagenome. RNAcentral describes it as "partial contains 5.8S ribosomal RNA, internal transcribed spacer 2, and large subunit ribosomal RNA". The record is from RNAcentral.